CUCGUAGGCGGCCAACUAAGUCAGACGUGAAAUCCCUCGGCUUAACCGGGGAACUGCGUCUGAUACUGGAUGGCUUGAAUCCGGGAGAGGGAUGUGGAAUUCCAGGUGUAGCGGUGAAAUGCGUAGAUAUCUGGAGGAACACCGGUGGCGAAGGCGGCAUCCUGGACCGGUAUUGACGCUGAGUGAGCGAAAGCCAGGGGAGCAAACGG
This 209-nucleotide ribosomal RNA is filed under the name uncultured bacterium. RNAcentral describes it as "partial 16S ribosomal RNA". It matches the Rfam family "Bacterial small subunit ribosomal RNA", at positions 568 to 775 of the family's 1533-position model. The record is from RNAcentral.